CUGGCCAGGGUGCUGUUCGAGGAGUCGAAGCACGAUGAGGCGGACGCCGCGAUCCAGCGAGCCAUCGAAAUCCCCUCGCCCAUCGACCCGGCUGAGAACAACGUCAUGAUCGACGAGGACGCGUGCGCGAACACCACCAAGGACCAGAGGGUGGAGAAUUCAAGGGAAAUGGCUCGCCAGAGCUUCCGAGCGAUGCGGCAAUGGAUGUGCGAUCGCCAUGUCCCGCUCGUCAUCAACAAGGUACUCGAAGUCGAGCUCGACGCCGACGAUCGCAAGGGGGCGGCACAGGCGCUCAUGACGGCAAAUGACCUCGCAAAGCGUUGCCAUUACUCGGCGCGCGCGCAGUUGUUCCGCGCAUACAUGAAGCUCAAUUUCGCGCGCGGCCUUGAUGCGACCAUGGACAGGAGGCCCUUUCUGGAUCGCAUCCGCGGCGAGGUGACCGAAGCGGUAAACCGCUUCAGUGCCUCGAUCGUGCUCAGCAUGUUCCGUGCCAAGCUCUGUUUCGUCCUGGGUUUCUAUGAGGAUGCGUACCUUGAGUUCCUUCGUGCGGUUUUUACUAUAGAGCAGCCUGUUGACCCCAGGUUGGAGGACGUGCCUCCUGGAUCUGUCAUUGGCCAGGAGCGUGCUGAUAGGUUAGUUUCUAUCAACAAAGAAUUCGCAAACCUAAUCCGGAGACUCUUGUGGGUGGCCAAGGUUUGCUGGGACUCCAUGACAAGCGAGGAGCAGGACGGCUUCCUAUCAGUGAGACUCGUUGAGCUGCAGAAGUACUGUGAUGACGUUUCUGAAAAUAGCCACUGGGCUGCACGGACCAUAUCUGAGGCACUAAGCUUUGUGAAGAAAACCAGGUCAUGGAGGUUCUGGAUUUGCCCCAGAAGUUACCAGAUACAGGUUCCCUCUUGCGACACAUGUGUAGCAAGCACCCAGCAGAGAAAGACCUGCCGAAGCUGCAGGCACUCUUAGAUCCAAACCAGAAUCACGAUACAUCUGUGGAUGAUAGUUCUUCUGAUGAUAUAACAGUUGGUCAAGACUCUGAGGACAAUUACUUCUUCUGUUUCAAGAAGACGGAUCAGAUGUUUGACCGCUUGUUUAUUCCGCCAUCUAUAGUAACUCAUGCUGAGCCAUUUGCUGAAAUACGAGAGAAGAAAUGCAAAGAAGGAACCGAGAUCCUAGAAAAGAUGAAGCAGAAGUUGAAGAAUUUACCCACAGACAAAUUAAGUGCCGAGCUCUGACAAUGUCCCUAUUGUAUCUCCUUGUUUUGACUUACAAUUUCUUAGUUAGGUUCAUUCCUGCACUACUGUGCUUAUGAUUGUCUUUAUCACAGUAAUCUCUAACUACGUUGUUUGUACAUUGCAGGUUGAUAAGGCUCGUCGUGAAAUCCAAGGCUUGUGGUGUGAUUUCCUUUCAACUUCUGUGUUGGAUUAUCACGUAGUCAUCUUGCCCCUUGCAGAAUCAUUCAUAUGGAGUAAACUGAUAAAAUCCACCAGUGAAGAUAAAGCUUCCAGUAAGAGUAUUGACAAUUCUGAUAUUGACACCGUGUUCCUGGAUGUUGUUAAUGCCGCUGGCAGCGAAAUGGUGCUGGAAUACAUGUUGAAAUACCUGGAAGCAAACAAAAAUCAUGAAUGUGGUGAUGACCAAGAUACAGAAGACAUGAAGCCUUCAGGGUUAGACAAGAGAUUGUAGAUGAUGAAAAAACUGAAGAAAGUGAGAAUCUCGUUGAAUACGGGAAUCCUGCCAUGUAUGGCGACAUGGAGGCGGAGGAGCAGCUGAAGAAGCUGUUUAUUCAGGGGGCAGAGCUCAACGAGACGGCUCCCAAGGAGCGACGCCGUCCUUGUGUCCAGUGUUAUGUUGAAGAUUGCCGUAACGGACCAAAAUUCUUUAACUUUUGGGGCAUGAUAAGUCACUAUGAAUCCAGGCAUCAGCAGUUCCUGCAAGAGCACAAGAAAGCAUCAACUUGUCCUAUUUGUGGUAACAAGUUCCAGUCACGUGAUGCUUAUAAGAUGCAUAAAAAGAUGAUGGGCACACAUUAGAACCGUGUGCAAGUGUUUUUUACACUUGUAUGGUGGAUGUUUGAUGACAUGUAAACUUUGUGCGGUGUAUAGUUUUGUUAUUGAAUGCUGUAGGAUGCGCAGGUACUCCAUAAUGUUGAUUUUUUGUCUGUAGAAUUCUGUAAUACUU
Long non-coding RNA from Brachypodium distachyon (stiff brome), 2175 nucleotides. RefSeq lists it as uncharacterized. The record is from RefSeq and is a predicted model, not a curated record. The transcript has 4 exons. NCBI's taxonomy places the organism in Eukaryota, Viridiplantae, Streptophyta, Magnoliopsida, Poales, Poaceae.